Molecule: ribosomal RNA, 433 nt
Filed under: uncultured bacterium
Lineage: Bacteria
Description: partial 16S ribosomal RNA
Rfam family: Bacterial small subunit ribosomal RNA
Source: RNAcentral
AACGAACGCUGGCGGCAUGCCUAACACAUGCAAGUCGAACGAGACCUUCGGGUCUAGCGGCGCACGGGUGCGUAACGCGUGGGAACUUGCCCUUAGGUUCGGAAUAACUCCCCGAAAGGGGUGCUAUUACCGGAAAAUGUCUUAGGACAAAAGAUUACUCGCCUUCGGAUGGGCCCGCGUUGGAUUAGCUAGUUGGUAGGGUAAAAGCCUACCAAGGCGACGAUCCUUAGCUGGUCUGAGAGGAUGAUCAGCCACACUGGGACUGAGACACGGCCCAGACUCCUACGGGAGGCAGCAGUGGGGAAUAUUGGACAAUGGGCGAAAGCCUGAUCCAGCAAUGCCGCGUGAGUGAUGAAGGCCUUAGGGUUGUAAAGCUCUUUUGCCCGGGAUGAUAAUGACAGUACCGGGAGAAUAAGCUCCGGCUAACUCCGUG